Molecule: ribosomal RNA, 253 nt
Filed under: uncultured bacterium
Lineage: Bacteria
Description: partial 16S ribosomal RNA
Rfam family: Bacterial small subunit ribosomal RNA
Source: RNAcentral
UACGUAGGGCGCGAGCGUUGUCCGGAAUUAUUGGGCGUAAAGAGCUCGUAGGCGGCCUGUUGCGUCUGCUGUGAAAUCCCGGGGCUUAACCCCGGGCGUGCAGUGGAUACGGGCAGGCUGGAGGCAGGCAGGGGAGAACGGAAUUCCCGGUGUAGCGGUGAAAUGCGCAGAUAUCGGGAGGAACACCGGUGGCGAAGGCGGUUCUCUGGAACGCAACUGACGCUGAGACGCGAAAGCGUGGGGAGCAAACAGG